UAUGGCCAUGUCAUGUUGAAACAUUCAUUCCCAUACAAUCACCGAAGUUAAGUAAUGUUGAGCCUCGUCAGUACAUAGAUGGGUGAGCACUUGGGAAUAACAGGUGUUGUAAG
Non-coding RNA from Acanthosepion pharaonis, 113 nucleotides. NCBI's taxonomy places the organism in Eukaryota, Metazoa, Mollusca, Cephalopoda, Sepiida, Sepiidae. The record is from the annotation of a GenBank genome assembly.